UAUUGCUCCAACAAACUCCAAUGUUUGGGGAAAAGGUCUUCUGUGGUGGAUUGAAUUCACAAAGCUUAAAGGAAUUACAAUUCAGGGAAAAGGCACCAUCGAUGGGAGUGGCUCAGUAUGGUGGCAAGACUACCCAUUUGAUGAUCCUUCAGUUUGUAUAUCAGCUACAAAAAUAUGCAUUAUAUUUGCAUCUAAUCAAG
RNAcentral lists this unclassified non-coding RNA (200 nucleotides) under Hevea brasiliensis (rubber tree). Lineage: Eukaryota; Viridiplantae; Streptophyta; Magnoliopsida; Malpighiales; Euphorbiaceae. The record is from RNAcentral.